UUGAAGAUAAGAUAAUUAAAAUUCAUCCAAGCCCCAUAGUAUAGUCACUAGAAUUUUCAGAAGUAAAGUGUUUUAUCUAUCUCAGUUAACAGCCCUUGAGUGAGAGACGAGGCAAGGCAAGCACGGUGGGGUGGGAUGCACCCUCCCCUCCCAUAUGAGUCAUGCCCUCAUGACCAAUGAAAGUUCAAUGUGUGAGGUAUUCCCACAGGCACAGUCCAGCCACCACUCGAGAUAGAAAUACAAAAGCAUAAUUUGGAGGAGGCUGAGAGGAUUUUUACAGUUAGACGGUGACAAAAUGGCACCCCUUCAACUGCAGCUUCACUUUUGGGAAGAGGAAGAAGCCUCAACAUGAAGGUUGAUCAUCCAAGGCACAGUGACUGAGCUCUUGACAGACUUCAGCUUGGUACUCCAUCUAUUCAGGGAUCAGAAGCCUGGGCACAAUGUUAAAAGUAAUGCAGUGCAUGUUCAAAUCAGAUCUCAGCGCAAGAGACCACACCUGUGAGGAUCCCACUAUGUAUAGGCAGCAACAUCCUGGCUCAUUCUUUGUAUAUGAUCCAGGAUCUCAGAACUCAGAUUCACCAGAUCCCGAAGUCUUCAGAACCGACUCCUUAUAAUUCACAGCUAUUCUAUAAACUAAAGAUACUGCUGAAAGGAUCCUACUUUGAGAGCAAAGAGAUUAUCACAGAGAAAUGUGAUAACAGAUAGAAGCCAAUUCGAAACAGGACUUCCAGAAAUGUUUCUAUGGAUAAAAGACCACUGGACCCAUGUGUAGAGUCACAUGGGUCCUCUUUCAAAAGAGAAUGGAGUUAGAACCAACAAAUUACACUAUUUUCAUCACAGAUCAGAAACUUUUGAGCGGUAAUUGAAAAAUAUAAUCCUAUGAUAAACAGGUUAUCUAUACAUGAAAACUCGAUAACUAUAAAUGUGGCGAUUGUGUGUUUGGCAGAAUAAAUGUGACAGUCCUUCAGUGUAUAACUUUUCCAUAACUGAGGAGCAAGUGUGGACUGUCCUUGAGAAGAAAACUUCACAAAGUUUAUGAUCACUGAUAGAAGAACUUACCUG
This is a long non-coding RNA of Scylla paramamosain (green mud crab), 1062 nucleotides long. RefSeq lists it as uncharacterized. Lineage: Eukaryota; Metazoa; Arthropoda; Malacostraca; Decapoda; Portunidae. The transcript has 3 exons. The record is from RefSeq and is a predicted model, not a curated record.